Molecule: long non-coding RNA, 899 nt
Organism: Medicago truncatula (barrel medic)
Lineage: Eukaryota; Viridiplantae; Streptophyta; Magnoliopsida; Fabales; Fabaceae
Exons: 2
Source: RefSeq, a predicted model, not a curated record
UUUUAUUCUACACAAUUUAUCACUAUUUUAGUAUGUUUUUACUUGAGAGAUUCAUUGGUUAUAGUAAACCAAAUUGCUCGCUAACUUUAGGUCUCUGUGUCUUUGUUUUACAAUUAAAUCCAAAUUUUCUUGUUUGAUAUUCCUCUUUGAGUGUGUUUUCUUGGCUUAUUUUUUCUUGCUUGUCUUUAAAUUUCUAUUGGUUUUGUCUUAGAGUUUCAUGUGUGUAUUUGACCUCUUGUGUGAUGAUAAGUUCUAUUUGUGGGAUUGCCUUGAUUGAUUUGGAAAGUAACAUCAACACCUUGGUGGUUGAAAUUCAAUUUGAUUCUUCUAAGAGCCUCAAGGAUAAAAGAAGGAUGUGAAAAACUCUCUUCAAAUAACAAGUGUUUCAUGGCAAUCAUAACUUGAAGAUGCACUAGUAGUUGUUAUUUUAAUAUUUAUAUAUGAUUAAUUUUGAUUUAGUUUCAUUUUGAUCUUAUAUUAUUAUAUAGUACUUUGAUGAUUUCAAUUGUUCGACGUACUCUAAAGAUUAAUUAAUAGAAAUCAAGGAAGAAUGGAGUUAGUUCGUACUCGACCUAAAAAUUACAUGAUAUUUUUACUAUAAGAUGAAGGAAGUUCCAAAAAUGUGAAAGUGCAUCAUGGUCUAUUUGUUUCUUUAUAAAAUCUCUUAUGCCUUGUUAUGGGGAAAAAGUCAUAAACGACCAAAUGCGUAGAGAGAUUUUGCUGGACGAGGAUUGAAUGUUAACUAAGAAGAUUUUGAUGUUUAUGUUGACUAAGUUGUAACUUCUUAGAGAUAAGUAAUCAUUUGUAACAUUUAGAGGUAGUGAGUAUAAUUUGUAACUUCUAUUCUAUGUAUAACAAUUACAUACAUUUGAUGAUAUAUUAAGGUUUUAUUGGUUAAA